GGCUCAGAACGAACGCGGGCGGCGUGCCUAACACAUGCAAGUCGAGCGCGAAAAGGGCAACCUGAGUAGAGCGGCGCACGGGUGCGUAACACGUGGGUAAUCUGCCCUUGAGUCUGGGAUAACCUUCCGAAAGGUUGGCUAAUACCGGAUAAGCUCACGGGGACUUCGGUCUCUGUGGGAAAAGUAGGCCACUGUUUACAAGCUUACACUCGAGGAUGAGCCCGCGGCCCAUCAGCUAGUUGGCGGGGUAACGGCCCACCAAGGCUACGACGGGUAGCUGGUCUGAGAGGACGAUCAGCCACACUGGAACUGAGACACGGUCCAGACUCCUACGGGAGGCAGCAGUGGGGAAUUUUCCACAAUGGGCGAAAGCCUGAUGGAGCAACGCCGCGUGUGUGAUGAAGGUCUUCGGAUCGUAAAGCACUUUCGACCGGGACGAAAAACCUGGCGCUAACAUCGCCAGGCCUGACGGUACCGGGAGAAGAAGCACCGGCUAACUCUGUGCCAGCAGCCGCGGUAAUACAGAGGGUGCAAGCGUUGUUCGGAAUUAUUGGGCGUAAAGCGCGUGUAGGCGGCUUGUCAAGUCGGGUGUGAAAGCCCUCAGCUCAACUGAGGAAGUGCGCCUGAAACUGACGAGCUUGAGUGCCUGAGAGGGUGGCGGAAUUCCGCAAGUAGAGGUGAAAUUCGUAGAUAUGCGGAGGAACACCGGUGGCGAAGGCGGCCACCUGGCAGGUAACUGACGCUGAGACGCGAAAGCGUGGGGAGCAAACAGGAUUAGAUACCCUGGUAGUCCACGCCGUAAACGAUGAGAACUAGGUGUCGUGGGUGUUGACCCCUGCGGUGCCGAAGCUAACGCAUUAAGUUCUCCGCCUGGGAAGUACGGCCGCAGGGUUAAACUUUAAU
Molecule: ribosomal RNA, 903 nt
Filed under: uncultured bacterium
Lineage: Bacteria
Description: bacterial SSU rRNA
Rfam family: Bacterial small subunit ribosomal RNA
Source: RNAcentral